This 433-nucleotide ribosomal RNA is filed under the name uncultured bacterium. RNAcentral describes it as "partial 16S ribosomal RNA". It matches the Rfam family "Bacterial small subunit ribosomal RNA", at positions 29 to 507 of the family's 1533-position model. The record is from RNAcentral.
AACGAACGCUGGCGGCAUGCCUAACACAUGCAAGUCGAACGAGACCUUCGGGUCUAGUGGCGCACGGGUGCGUAACGCGUGGGAACCUGCCCUUAGGUUCGGAAUAACUCCCCGAAAGGGGUGCUAAUACCGGAUAAUGUCUUCGGACCAAAGAUUUAUCGCCUUUGGAUGGGCCCGCGUUGGAUUAGCUAGUUGGUAGGGUAAAAGCCUGCCAAGGCGACGAUCCAUAGCUGGUCUGAGAGGAUGAUCAGCCACACUGGGACUGAGACACGGCCCAGACUCCUACGGGAGGCAGCAGUGGGGAAUAUUGGACGAUGGGCGAAAGCCUGAUCCAGCAAUGCCGCGUGAGUGAUGAAGGCCUUAGGGUUGUAAAGCUCUUUUACCCGGGAUGAUAAUGACAGUACCGGGAGAAUAAGCUCCGGCUAACUCCGUG